AUGAGGAAGGCAUCCCACAGUCAAAUGCUGCAGGGUCCAGUCCCAGUUAUAGUCAUCGUAGGUGCAGAAGGCAUCAGUGCAGGCAAUCAGUUGUUGGUAUGUGUCCCUCGCCAACACCAUGCCCAUGUUGUGCUCUGUGGACUUCCAUGUCUUCAGUUCCACCUUGUCAGCUCGGCCGGCAAAGCUGCCGCGCACAGUGGCAUAAGUGCCCAAGGACAGCAACUGGCACUCAGGGCAGUCCCGCUGUCUCAAGGCCCAGAGGCGUUGCAGGACAUGGUAGAAGUCAGGUGCCAGGUAGUGGUCCUCCUCCAAGAAGACCACCAAGCCUGGGUGUUCCCGCAGAGCGCGCACCCUCUCCCACACAAAGUGAAGCUUCCACCACCAGUGGUGUUUGGUUUGGGUGAAACUAGACUCACGGUAAUGGCCAAAGGCAUCGGGGUAAUGAGCGUUGAGGCAGCCCGAGCGCAGCGCCGCCGCCUGGCCCACGUCGCGCGGACAAUCGCGUGGGUCAGUGCCUGGGAAUUCGCCCGGAUAGAGCUGCAAGCUGAACGGGAAGAAAAUCUGCAGGACGGCGCAGAAGUCCACGGAGGCGGCCAGGGCAUUCAACCCGGCGGACCACACGUCGUGGCUCAGCACGAGGAGCACUUUUUCCACGCCGGGCGCGCGUCGCAGCGAGUCCAACAGGAUGCGGAGGUGCUCGGCGCGCUCAUGCACCUGCACCACCAGCGCCACGGCCACCUCUCCGGGGCCGCCCCCGCCAGGCCGCCAGCUCGCCUCGUUGCGAACCGGCUGGUCGAAGUUGAGUCGGUAGACCAGAGACCGGUAAUGCAGGGUGCGAUUCAGCCCCGUCGGCGCCUCUUCCCGCGAUAUCGAAGAAGAAUUGGAGCGGCGUCCGUGAUUAACUGGAAGGCUGCUGCUGCUGUUGCUAACCGCCGGCGGCAACGGUCGAUCUCCUGGGAGCGGCGGCGGAGACGCGGCGUCUUCCCGUUUGUUGUUGUGGUUGCUGCUGCCGCUGCCGCUGGUGCCGCCGGCCUCGCUCGUCCCUCCCCAAAGCACCAAGGCACAGGCGGCGGCGCCCAAGACCAGCAGCAGCGCCACCACUUUGCGCUUGUAGAUGCGGAAUCUCAUGGUCCGGGAGGUUUCCGGUUCUCCUGUGCCUUCCUCGUUCCUCACUUGCGGGGGCUUCGAGCCCCUUGGCGCGCAUCAGCGGAACAACCGAGCGCCCCGGGGUUCUCGGGUGCCCGACUGGUCGGGCCGCCGCCGCCGCGCGCGCAUCUUCUCCUUCGCUUUCUUGGCCGGAGACGAAACAGGCAGCGCGGCCGGAUGAAGAAUGAGCGAGGGAAGGAAAGAAAGAAGGAAGGAAGGAAGGAAGGAAGGAGGGAGGGACCCGAGCGGCUCCGCCCCGGCCACGCUACCUCCGACGGGGCUGCAGCAACCCCAGGACCUCCCUCUCCAGGCGCGGCUUCCGGAUCCGGACUCCCCGCUUCGUUCGCUGGAGAAGCCCGUCAUCAGGCCCCGCAAGGUUUCCAAAGUGCGGCUGGAGGCGCUCUUGGAGAAAGGAGUUCGCUUCGCACCGACCUUCCCGCAAUGAAUCUGAUUGGUAGGAGGCAAAAAGAGCAACUGUCCUGCUGUCCAAAUUUCCUGGCCUUUUCAAGAACUUGGAAAGCACAGAAGAGAAUAUUUUGCAGCUCAGGAUUGAACGGUGAGGUUCCUUCGUGCUCUCUGAGCUUGGUUAGUUUCUUGCAGACGGUUCCCGAGUUGGGUGAUGAAACCGCUGCAAAACAACCACCAAGCUCAGAAAACACUAAAGAGCCCCAGACGUCGUUUCCGGAGACAAUGGGCAACCGAUGCUCUCCAGUCAGGCUUUCUAACUAUCCUAGCUUGUUGGCCAUACCGUACCCGUAUAGAUAA
Molecule: long non-coding RNA, 1911 nt
Organism: Laticauda laticaudata (blue-ringed sea krait)
Lineage: Eukaryota; Metazoa; Chordata; Lepidosauria; Squamata; Elapidae
Source: Ensembl